GAACAUUCCCUACUUUGAGUUUGUACCAAUGUCUAGCUUUUGCCGUUAAAGAGAACGGAAAGAGCUUCCAUUUGAGGGUCUCAUCGGACAUUCCUUCUAUGCGAAGGAGGUCACAGACUCGAUAAAACUCUCUUAGGUGUGUGUAUGGGUUUUCCUCACCUUCUCCUGAGAAAGGUUGUUUUUGAACAAAUUCUAUGUAUUCGGGGUCUAUCUCAAAACUAGAUGCUAUGAUAGGCUUUGAAGAUUUUGGUGGUUCGAGAUGUGUGCCCGUAGGUCUAUGAAAUUCAUAGAUAGACAUGUUUGAAUUCAUGAUAGACCAUAGAUCAAGGAUUAGGUAAGAAGAAAGAUUAGCAGAGAUGAGGCAAAGGAUAAAAGGAAUAUAUAUUUUUUUUAUUUUUUAGAAAAUGAUUAAGCUAGUUCGUAGUAAACUCAGCAACCGUCUCCCCGGCAAUGGCGCCAAAAAUGCUUGUUGACACUUGCUAGCACCACUUCAAUACUAGGUUGUCAUCCCCAACAUGGCACUAGAGUGUACUAUGGUAUUUAUACGCACACAGAUAAUCCGCAAGCGCACGGAUACCGUUAUAGCUUUUACCCGGUUAAAGGUUUUAUCGUAUCCACAGGGAAACGGGAGAACUGAUCUACGCUCUAACUUAACCAAGAUAAGUAAAUAGGUGUAAAUAGGAAAGAUGGUAGAAUCAAAUAAGAACAAUAUUAAAGGUAAGAUAACAGUGAGUGAUAAUAUGGGAAUAGAGAGUAGAGCAAUUCUAGUAUAUGGGCGAUGGUAGCAGAAUAGAGAGAAUAACUAUGGUUUCUCUACUUCAAAGGGGUAUGUCUAUGUCUGGGACGAACCACGUAAUAAGAGUACACCACAAAGGAUGCUUAUCCUUAGGCCGAUAAACCCUACCCGUCCUGCUAAUGAGAGGUGGACUACAGAGGUCCAACGUAACUGUCACCUACGCGGCCUACCACACGAACCAGCUAGACAGGGGAUAUCCACAAGUAAUCUAGGUCUAAGCACCACGCUUACACCUAUACUACAACUCUUACCUAUAGCGUCCUAUAGAUUAAAGUACUCAAAAGAGUUGUGAACCAGAACAUACAUAAUUAGUAAUUGCAU
This 1117-nucleotide long non-coding RNA is filed under the name Sorghum bicolor (sorghum). RNAcentral's name for it is "long non-coding RNA (SBIC_LNC000920)". The record is from RNAcentral. Lineage: Eukaryota; Viridiplantae; Streptophyta; Magnoliopsida; Poales; Poaceae.